Camelina sativa (false flax) is the source of this 1817-nucleotide non-coding RNA. NCBI's taxonomy places the organism in Eukaryota, Viridiplantae, Streptophyta, Magnoliopsida, Brassicales, Brassicaceae. The record is from RefSeq and is a predicted model, not a curated record.
AAUUAAUAUCACAGAAAAAAAAAAAUAUAGAUUAGGUUUUAGUGUGUCUCGUGAAAGACUUCCAUCUAUGCUCUAUUCUCUCUCUCAAACUCGAUCCGGAACCCGUUCUGAAACUCGAUCCGAAUUUGUUUGUCUCAUCUUUCACUCUCGAUCUCUCAGUAUCGAUCCUCUCUCAAUAGCAAUCCCUCUCAGUAGCAACUCGCAAUCUCUUGUGAAGUCGUCAAUGGUGGCUUUCGUUUUUCUCAAUCAUGGUGAUUCAUUCAACAACUCUCGGUGAUUCUUAUUCUUUUUCCUGUUGAGAAAGUUGAUCGACAGAGAUCGCUUGAUCAGAAAAGAUGUGUCAUUUUGGUCACCGGUCUUAGUGGUGCAGGGAAGACCACUUUGGCUUGUUCGUUGAACCAGAAGGAGAAGCUUUGUUAUAUUCUUGAUGGUGAUAAACUGUUAAUGUAAGGCAUUGCUGACUGGAAAUUUCUGGAUUUUGUGGUUUCUCUAUUCAUUCUUGUUUUCGACUUUAGCCAAUCAUUCUGGGUUACUAUCCAAAAUUUGGCAUACUAAAUUUGUUGAGGUAAUGUGAUGACAGUGGCUAUGAUAUCUGUUUUAGUUUCUAUAAUUUGUGAAAGCUUCUGCCUGCUAACUCUUGGAAUUGAGAACUCCAGUUCUAGAUUAGAUUAAGCUUUUGUGAUUGUUAGCUGCAGGCAAGGGCGGAUCCACGUUGUACUAAAGAGGGGCAGUUGCCACCGUCAAUUCUAGUACUCUGUUUGUUCUAUAACGUUUUUUUUAACUUAUUAUUAUUCUUCUAAUUCAUACAAACACAAGUGAAAAGCCCAAUUUAUUUUAUUUAAUUUCUCAUUACAAGUCCAUAUUUUUUAAUAACAUUGGGUUACGUACAAGUUAUUAACCAAAUUUUUAGAAAGUUAGUUUAAAAAGAAAACAAAAGUAGAGUUUUUUCAUUAAACUAUACUUCAAUUCCUAAAUUUUUUUUUUAGCUUUUUUCUCUUUUAAUUCUAGUCAAAUUUUUCCCCGGAUAAUCUUUUUUUCUAGAUCCGCCACUGGCUGCAGGAUAAGUAGUCGAAUAUACACUGUGAGAUCAUAACUUCAGGUUAUACCUUCCGAUCUCUGGUUUUUCGAACAAUUUAUGUCUCUGUUAUACCAUUGACUCAUUAGGCUUAUGUGGUUGUUUCAGAUUAUAACCCUUGUUGCUUUUAGUUUCCUUGCUUUAUAUGACUGGAUGUUUCGUCUAGACAAUGUAUGUUGUUGGAAAUGUAGGUCGAACAAGGGUUACAUAAACCUUUUGUCUCAUUUGUUAUGAAAUGAAAAAAAUAAAAGCUUCUUGACACACACCUGAAACCUGCACGUUUUUGCUUUCCAUAGGCAGUCGAAGUUUAUGCCUUGUUGAUAGGCAGUAAAGGAACUUUGAGCUCUCUAAAUAAUAUUUUGACUGGAUGCUUUUCGUAUAAUAUUUGUCAUUGGCAUUCACUAGCCCGUUUCGUAUUUGGUGAUCUGUGAUAGCAUGGAUUGAAGCUUCGUUAUGGUCUAGGUCUAGAAACAAGGAAAAUGCUACAUCAUUUGCCAACCUUCGUGAGUGUCUCUUAGAGUCUUUGUGCAGGUUCAAGGACCAAUACUGAGCGGAAGAACUUGUGGCUGUACUUUAGUAUUUUAAGCUUUACAUUUAUGGAUUCACUUGACUACUCUCUUCAUAUAUUUUGUUUAUUUUAGUAUGUUAAGCUAUAAAUACUUGAUUCUGUGACUACUCCCAUCUGAUAUGUUUCGAUAAUGUAUUUUUUUAAUGGUUUUAAUUUCAUAAGGUAUUUUCUCUC